RNAcentral lists this transfer RNA (85 nucleotides) under Helicobacter aurati. Its description in RNAcentral is "tRNA-Leu". It matches the Rfam family "tRNA". From Rfam's summary of the family: Transfer RNA (tRNA) molecules are approximately 80 nucleotides in length. Their secondary structure includes four short double-helical elements and three loops (D, anti-codon, and T loops). RNAcentral also lists the same sequence under 1 other name. Lineage: Bacteria; Pseudomonadati; Campylobacterota; Epsilonproteobacteria; Campylobacterales; Helicobacteraceae. The record is from RNAcentral.
GCGGAAGUGGCGAAACUGGCAGACGCACUAGACUUAGGAUCUAGCACCGCAAGGUAUGGAGGUUCAAGUCCUCUCUUCCGCACCA